Molecule: long non-coding RNA, 206 nt
Organism: Poecilia latipinna (sailfin molly)
Lineage: Eukaryota; Metazoa; Chordata; Actinopteri; Cyprinodontiformes; Poeciliidae
Exons: 3
Source: RefSeq, a predicted model, not a curated record
UGUAGGUGUAGUUGUUGUGGUUGUUGUUGGCUCUUGAGUUGGAGUGGGAGGUGUAGUUGUGGUUGUAGGAGGCUUUGUAGUUGUCGGAGGGGUAGGUGCAGUUGUUUUGGUUGUAGUUGUCUCUGGAGUUGUAGUGGGAGGUGUAGUUGUUAUGGUUGUAGUUGUCUCUGGAGUUGUAGUGGGAGGUGUAGUUGUAGUUGUUGUAG